RNAcentral lists this ribosomal RNA (253 nucleotides) under uncultured bacterium. RNAcentral describes it as "partial 16S ribosomal RNA". It matches the Rfam family "Bacterial small subunit ribosomal RNA", at positions 524 to 776 of the family's 1533-position model. The record is from RNAcentral.
UACGUAGGGCGCAAGCGUUGUCCGGAAUUAUUGGGCGUAAAGGGCGCGUAGGCGGCGCGGGCAGUCGAUCGUGAAAGUCCGGAGCUCAACUCCGGAUCGGCGGUCGAUACUCUCGUGCUUGAGCACUGUAGAGGCAGAUGGAAUUCCGGGUGUAGCGGUGGAAUGCGUAGAGAUCCGGAAGAACACCGGUGGCGAAGGCGGUCUGCUGGGCAGUUGCUGACGCUGAGGCGCGACAGCGUGGGGAGCAAACAGG